UACCAGCUCUCCGAGUGGUGUGGAUGUUUAUUGGGCCUAAAGCAUCCGUAGCUGGCUGGACAAGUCCCCUGUUAAAUCCACCGAUUUAAUCGUUGGAGUGCGGGGGAUACUGUUCGGCUAGGGGACGGGAGAGGCAGACGGUAUUUUCGGGGUAGGGGUGAGAUCCUAUAAUCCCGGGAAGACCACCAGUGGCGAAGGCUGUCUGCUAGAACGCGCCCGACGGUGAGGGAUGAAAGCUGGGGGAGCGAACCGGAUUAGAUACCCGGGUAGUCCCAGCUGUAAACGAUGCAGGCUAGGUGUUUGGGUGGCUACGUGCCACUUCAGUGCCGCAGGGAAGCCAUUAAGCUCGCCGCCUGGGGAGUACGGCCGCAAGGCUGAAACUUAAAGGAAUUGGCGGGGAGCACCACAAGGCGUGAAGCUUGCGGUUC
This 428-nucleotide ribosomal RNA is filed under the name uncultured archaeon. RNAcentral describes it as "bacterial SSU rRNA". It matches the Rfam family "Archaeal small subunit ribosomal RNA", at positions 474 to 903 of the family's 1478-position model. The record is from RNAcentral.